GGGUUGUGAGGUUAAGCGACUAAGCGUACACGGUGGAUGCCCUGGCAGUCAGAGGCGAUGAAGGGCGUGCUAAUCUGCGAUAAGCGCCGGUAAGGUGAUAUGAACCGUUAUAACCGGCGAUACCCGAAUGGGGAAACCCAGUGUGACUCGUCACACUAUCAUUAACUGAAUCCAUAGGUUAAUGAGGCGAACCGGGGGAACUGAAACAUCUAAGUACCCCGAGGAAAAGAAAUCAACCGAGAUUCCCCCAGUAGCGGCGAGCGAACGGGGAGGAGCCCAGAGCCUGAAUCAGCAUGUGUGUUAGUGGAAGCGUCUGGAAAGGCGCGCGAUACAGGGUGACAGCCCCGUACACAAAAGCGCAUGUGCUGUGAGCUCGAUGAGUAGGGCGGGACACGUGGUAUCCUGUCUGAAUAUGGGGGGACCAUCCUCCAAGGCUAAAUACUCCUGACUGACCGAUAGUGAACCAGUACCGUGAGGGAAAGGCGAAAAGAACCCCGGCGAGGGGAGUGAAAAAGAACCUGAAACCGUGUACGUACAAGCAGUGGGAGCACCCUUUGGGUGUGACUGCGUACCUUUUGUAUAAUGGGUCAGCGACUUAUAUUCUGUAGCAAGGUUAACCGAAUAGGGGAGCCGGAGGGAAACCGAGUCUUAAUUGGGCGUUAAGUUGCAGGGUAUAGACCCGAAACCCGGUGAUCUAGCCAUGGGCAGGUUGAAGGUUGGGUAACACUAACUGGAGGACCGAACCGACUAAUGUUGAAAAAUUAGCGGAUGACCUGUGGCUGGGGGUGAAAGGCCAAUCAAACCGGGAGAUAGCUGGUUCUCCCCGAAAGCUAUUUAGGUAGCGCCUCGUGAAUUCAUCUCCGGGGGUAGAGCACUGUUUCGGCUAGGGGGCCAUCCCGGCUUACCAACCCGAUGCAAACUGCGAAUACCGGAGAAUGUUAUCACGGGAGACACACGGCGGGUGCUAACGUCCGUCGUGAAGAGGGAAACAACCCAGACCGCCAGCUAAGGUCCCAAAGUCAUGGUUAAGUGGGAAACGAUGUGGGAAGGCCCAGACAGCCAGGAUGUUGGCUUAGAAGCAGCCAUCAUUUAAAGAAAGCGUAAUAGCUCACUGGUCGAGUCGGCCUGCGCGGAAGAUGUAACGGGGCUAAACCAUGCACCGAAGCUGCGGCAGCGACACUGUGUGUUGUUGGGUAGGGGAGCGUUCUGUAAGCCNNNNNNNNNNNNNNNUGAGGCAUGCUGGAGGUAUCAGAAGUGCGAAUGCUGACAUAAGUAACGAUAAAGCGGGUGAAAAGCCCGCUCGCCGGAAGACCAAGGGUUCCUGUCCAACGUUAAUCGGGGCAGGGUGAGUCGACCCCUAAGGCGAGGCCGAAAGGCGUAGUCGAUGGGAAACGGGUUAAUAUUCCCGUACUUGGUGUUACUGCGAAGGGGGGACGGAGAAGGCUAUGUUGGCCGGGCGACGGUUGUCCCGGUUUAAGCGUGUAGGUGUGUGUUCCAGGUAAAUCCGGUUCACUUUAACACUGAGGCGUGACGACGAGGCACUACGGUGCUGAAGCAACAAAUGCCCUGCUUCCAGGAAAAGCCUCUAAGCAUCAGGUAACAUCAAAUCGUACCCCAAACCGACACAGGUGGUCAGGUAGAGAAUACCAAGGCGCUUGAGAGAACUCGGGUGAAGGAACUAGGCAAAAUGGUGCCGUAACUUCGGGAGAAGGCACGCUGACACGUAGGUGAAGUGAUUUACUCAUGGAGCUGAAGUCAGUCGAAGAUACCAGCUGGCUGCAACUGUUUAUUAAAAACACAGCACUGUGCAAACACGAAAGUGGACGUAUACGGUGUGACGCCUGCCCGGUGCCGGAAGGUUAAUUGAUGGGGUCAGCGCAAGCGAAGCUCCUGAUCGAAGCCCCGGUAAACGGCGGCCGUAACUAUAACGGUCCUAAGGUAGCGAAAUUCCUUGUCGGGUAAGUUCCGACCUGCACGAAUGGCGUAAUGAUGGCCAGGCUGUCUCCACCCGAGACUCAGUGAAAUUGAACUCGCUGUGAAGAUGCAGUGUACCCGCGGCAAGACGGAAAGACCCCGUGAACCUUUACUAUAGCUUGACACUGAACAUUGAGCCUUGAUGUGUAGGAUAGGUGGGAGGCUUUGAAGUGUGGACGCCAGUCUGCAUGGAGCCGACCUUGAAAUACCACCCUUUAAUGUUUGAUGUUCUAACGUGGACCCGUUACCCGGGUUGCGGACAGUGUCUGGUGGGUAGUUUGACUGGGGCGGUCUCCUCCUAAAGAGUAACGGAGGAGCACGAAGGUUGGCUAAUCCUGGUCGGACAUCAGGAGGUUAGUGCAAUGGCAUAAGCCAGCUUGACUGCGAGCGUGACGGCGCGAGCAGGUGCGAAAGCAGGUCAUAGUGAUCCGGUGGUUCUGAAUGGAAGGGCCAUCGCUCAACGGAUAAAAGGUACUCCGGGGAUAACAGGCUGAUACCGCCCAAGAGUUCAUAUCGACGGCGGUGUUUGGCACCUCGAUGUCGGCUCAUCACAUCCUGGGGCUGAAGUAGGUCCCAAGGGUAUGGCUGUUCGCCAUUUAAAGUGGUACGCGAGCUGGGUUUAGAACGUCGUGAGACAGUUCGGUCCCUAUCUGCCGUGGGCGCUGGAGAACUGAGGGGGGCUGCUCCUAGUACGAGAGGACCGGAGUGGACGCAUCACUGGUGUUCGGGUUGUCAUGCCAAUGGCACUGCCCGGUAGCUAAAUGCGGAAGAGAUAAGUGCUGAAAGCAUCUAAGCACGAAACUUGCCCCGAGAUGAGUUCUCCCUGAGACUUAAAGUCUCCUGAAGGAACGUUGAAGACGACGACGUUGAUAGGCCGGGUGUGUAAGCGCAGCGAUGCGUUGAGCUAACCGGUACUAAUGAACCGUGAGGCUUAACCUUACAACGCCGAAG
Molecule: ribosomal RNA, 2925 nt
Filed under: Salmonella enterica subsp. enterica serovar Enteritidis str. SA20094389
Lineage: Bacteria; Pseudomonadati; Pseudomonadota; Gammaproteobacteria; Enterobacterales; Enterobacteriaceae
Description: bacterial LSU rRNA
Rfam family: Bacterial large subunit ribosomal RNA
Source: RNAcentral